AACGAACGCUGGCGGCAGGCCUAACACAUGCAAGUCGAGCGCCCCGCAAGGGGAGCGGCGGACGGGUGAGUAACGCGUGGGAACGUACCCUUUGCUACGGAAUAGCCUCGGGAAACUGGGAGUAAUACCGUAUGUGCCCUUCGGGGAAGGAUUUAUCGGCAAAGGAUCGGCCCGCGUUGGAUUAGGUAGUUGGUGGGGUAAGUGGCCUACCAAGCCGACGAUCCAUAGCUGGUUUGAGAGGAUGAUCAGCCACACUGGGGACUGAGACACGGCCCAGACUCCUACGGGAGGCAGCAGUGGGGGAAUCUUAGACAAUGGGCGCAAGCCUGAUCUAGCCAUGCCGCGUGAGCGAUGAAGGCCUUAGGGUUGUAAAGCUCUUUCAGUGGGGAAGAUAAUGACUGUACCCCCACGAAGAAGCCCCGGCUAACUCCGUGCCAGCAGCCGCGGUAAAGUACAGUGU
This 460-nucleotide ribosomal RNA is filed under the name uncultured bacterium. RNAcentral's name for it is "bacterial SSU rRNA". It matches the Rfam family "Bacterial small subunit ribosomal RNA", at positions 29 to 533 of the family's 1533-position model. The record is from RNAcentral.